Small nucleolar RNA from Pteropus vampyrus (large flying fox), 75 nucleotides. Lineage: Eukaryota; Metazoa; Chordata; Mammalia; Chiroptera; Pteropodidae. The record is from Ensembl.
UGAAUCAAUGAUAUGUAACUGCCAGCAGAUGAGUCACAAUGAUCAAUAAUACGGGUCUGGACCUCUGAGGUCCAA